UCCAGUGAAGGAUUUGACACUCAAAAGUCAACAGUGUCACGUAUGUGCAGUGUGUUCCACGUGUUCUUCAGGACAGCUUUAAACAUAAGAUGAGAAACGCAGCAUAGUUGAAAGGCUGUGGGCAGUGAUGAUGGAGAACAAGAAGUGUGGGACAGCAGAGACAGAGAGAGGACAGAGGAGGUUCAUAGCAAUGCUUCAUAGAAUCCAGUCAAGGAGAUAAGUACAUACAGAGCUUAAAAAGUGAAGAGCAAGCCAUUUUGCAUCUUCAUCGUGAUGGCAACCUACACAUCAGAGCUUAUCCCAGGUCAGCAGCAGGGAACUUUGACACAGGACUGGAAGGAAGAUCAUCGAC
Molecule: long non-coding RNA, 352 nt
Organism: Lagopus leucura (white-tailed ptarmigan)
Lineage: Eukaryota; Metazoa; Chordata; Aves; Galliformes; Phasianidae
Exons: 3
Source: RefSeq, a predicted model, not a curated record